Non-coding RNA from Parasteatoda tepidariorum (common house spider), 123 nucleotides. The record is from RefSeq and is a predicted model, not a curated record. Lineage: Eukaryota; Metazoa; Arthropoda; Arachnida; Araneae; Theridiidae.
GUUUCAAGGAAAGGAUCUACCAAAUGAAAUUAUAUGUUUCGAUUUAGAAGAAAUGAAAGAUCCAACUAAGGCUGAAAAAAAGAAAAUGGAAUUGUUGCAAAACAUUUCAAUAGGUAUGUCUUU